AACUCCUGACCUCAAGUGAUCCGCCCACCUCGGCCUCCCAAAGUGCUGGGAUUACAGGCAUGAGCCACCGCUCCGGGCCCUUGCACAUAUUUUUUUAUGAACACACAGGCAGCAGCACUUUGAUUACAGUAACUUACAUGGAAGUUAUUUUAAAAUGGCUUUCCCCUUCUCUUUUUCAUGUAGGCUGCAUUUUUCAUCUGCAGCACGCUUUCUCUCAAGAAUCUCAAGCACACACAAGAAACCAGAGAGUAAAAUCACUGAGGCGUGAACACAUCCAGAGACCAAGGGCGUCACUGGCAGAAAAGCUUUUAGGCGGAUCCACGGCCCGAGAGCCACCCUGCCCAGAGACGCGGUUUCCUAGGAGCAGUUCACACGCGGCUCUGCAGCACCCACAAGCGGGGCCAGGGGCUGGUUUUCAUAGUUCACAGUCUGCAGGGAUCUUAACAAAAACAUGGCCGUGGUAAAAGUGCCUAGACCAGGCUUUCGUCACAACUCAGAAGUGUCAGAAGACUUUCAGAAGCACAUGCAGUUGCAGCUCCAGUGUUUCAACAGUUGCCCAUUUCCAAGGCCUCCUAAAUACGUAUGAGGCCUGUGGACAACUUUCUCCUCAGCUGUUACAGAACCUGGACAACUUGUAGUGAAGACCUUCCACACCAGUAACAUAUUUUGGUGAGCCAGUCGGGAGUUGGCUAGAUUAGUUCCCCAGUCUGUCUUCUCGCCACUCUGGAUGUCCACAUGAGAGGACCCAAGGUAAUUUCUGACAGCCUCGGGCUCCUUGGGAAAACCAGAGGGUGCCACAGACCCCGUUUUAGGAGAAACCUCUGUUUUCCUCAGGGAACCCCAAGACACAUAAGCAGACAGAUCCCUCUCAAAAUCUAAGGCUCUGCUCUGUUUUGUAUCACAUUACCUGAUCUUUUUGACUUUGGGGGAAAUUACAUCAGAAAUUACUUUAGUAGGGGCUGGGCGCAGUGGCUCAUGCCUGUUAUCCCAGCACUUUGAGAGGCCGAGGCAGGCAGAUCACCUGAGGU
This 1028-nucleotide long non-coding RNA is filed under the name Homo sapiens (human). Its description in RNAcentral is "HSALNT0375465". Lineage: Eukaryota; Metazoa; Chordata; Mammalia; Primates; Hominidae. The record is from RNAcentral.